UCUUCACUGUUUCUACAGGCAAUUCAUUUCAUCAGGUGCUCCAGUGGUUGCUUGGAAUUUCACAAUGGUCAACAUCACAUGUUUGCCAUUGCUGAAAGCAGGUUGCAUACCCAGCUACUACCUUCCCCAUUCCCCUAUUGAUCAAGGCAGCACCCACGACAGUCAUAUCACUGACAACAGUCGAUUCCAAACCAAGAUUGAAGAUGGCAAUACCACUGGUGUAUCACACGGUGGUGCUGGUGAUAUCCCACUCGUCAAACAGUUGUUUUACCCUCUCUGCAGUCGCCUCCACAUCCUGCCUUCAAUUUUCAACUUCUCAAUCCCGUAUCCCCUUGGCGAACGUCCCGAGGCGCUCGUUGGCCGCGAUUCCUCAAAUCCAGAGUUGUUCCAGCCAAAAGAUAGACAAAAGGAAUGUACGCGGGAGACCAAGGUGAUGUAUAAAGCUGGAAUUUCGUGUGCUGAUGGACAUCGAAGCCGAUACACUGGGAAAAAUCACAGAGCCAUCGGAAAGCAUCCGUAAAUGAAAAUAUCUGAAAAUAAGUGCAGCCCUGUGCUCACUGCAGAUUUUGGCCCUGGUCUUCACGAGCCUGGGAUUCGCUAAGAAGCACCUGCGAAUCACAAGAUACCAUGCAAUCUACUGCAAUUGCUUCAAGUUUGUUUUUUAUUACUCAACUGCACUCUGCUCACAAACUUGAACACAUGUGAAGGCAUUGCCAUUCUGAUCCCACCCUUAGUCUGCAUGUUCCGAUCAUUGCUUUUUUCAAUUGCUGGUGUAUAGUCUUGACUGGCCGUCUGUAAUGGAUACAUUUGCAAGUUUUGCUAUUUUCUUGAAGGAUAGCCGAGUUUCACAAGCUCAACCUGUGAUAUCGUUGACUUUUGUGCGUUAAUUUAGUGAAACACAGCUUCAUUUUAGAUCACACACCAAGAGGGGUAUAUGGAGCAUACAAUAGCAUGUGAGUUGUUGCAUUUUGAUGAAACACUUCAAUAUGGCAUGACUUGAAGCAACAGAGCAGAUCCUGGUAUUUGUGGCCACCAGAUUAUAUGCACGUUAUCCAAUCACGAAGCAAAAUAAAAGUUGUAUCAUUCUUUGCUC
RNAcentral lists this long non-coding RNA (1093 nucleotides) under Eptatretus burgeri (inshore hagfish). RNAcentral describes it as "lncRNA (ENSEBUG00000017148.1)". Lineage: Eukaryota; Metazoa; Chordata; Myxini; Myxiniformes; Myxinidae. The record is from RNAcentral.